This 795-nucleotide ribosomal RNA is filed under the name uncultured Gemmatimonadota bacterium. RNAcentral describes it as "bacterial SSU rRNA". It matches the Rfam family "Bacterial small subunit ribosomal RNA", at positions 11 to 794 of the family's 1533-position model. Lineage: Bacteria; Pseudomonadati; Gemmatimonadota. The record is from RNAcentral.
GUUUGAUCCUGGCUCAGGACGAACGCUGGCGGCGUGCUUAACACAUGCAAGUCGAGGGCACUUAUGCAGCAAUGUGUGAGUGACCGGCGAACGGGUGCAUAACACAUGAGCGACCUUGCCUCGUGGUGGGGGAUAGCCAGCCCAACGGCCGGGUAAUACCGCAUAGGGUGGUCUUUUCGCAUGGAGAGACCAGCAAAGCCUUGCAGCAAUGCAAUGGCGCCACAGGGGGGGCUCGCGGCCUAUCAGCUAGUUGGGGGGGUAAUGGCCCACCAAGGCGACGACGGGUAGCUGGUCUGAGAGGAUGGCCAGCCACAUUGGGACUGAGAGACGGCCCAGACUCCUACGGGAGGCAGCAAUGGGGAAUCUUGCGCAAUGGCCGAAAGGCUGACGCAGCGACGCCGCGUGGGGGAGGAAGGCCUUCGGGUUGUAAACCCCUGUUGCCCGGGACGAAUGCGUACCAUAGGGUGCGUUGACGGUACCGGGUGAGGAAGCACCGGCUAACUCCGUGCCAGCAGCCGCGGUAAUACGGAGGGUGCAAGCGUUGUCCGGAAUCACUGGGCGUAAAGGGCGCGUAGGCGGCUCAUAAAGGCUGUGGUGAAAGUUCGGGGCUCAACCUCGAAUCGGCCGUGGCGACUUGUGGGCUGGAGCACUGUAGAGGCGAGUGGAAUUCCCGGUGUAGCGGUGGAAUGCGUAGAGAUCCGGAAGAACACCAGUGGCGAAGGCGGCUCGCUGGGCAGUGGCUGACGCUGAAGCGCGACAGCGUGGGGAGCAAACAGGAUUAGAUACCCUGGUAGU